RNAcentral lists this ribosomal RNA (305 nucleotides) under uncultured bacterium. RNAcentral describes it as "bacterial SSU rRNA". It matches the Rfam family "Bacterial small subunit ribosomal RNA", at positions 337 to 640 of the family's 1533-position model. The record is from RNAcentral.
ACCUACGGGAGGCAGCAGUGAGGAAUAUUGGUCAAUGGGCGGGAGCCUGAACCAGCCAAGCCGCGUGAGGGAAGAAGGUACAGCGUAUCGUAAACCUCUUUUGUCAGGGAACAAAGGCGGGGACUAGUCCCCGGAUGAGGGUACCUGAAGAAAAAGCAUCGGCUAACUCCGUGCCAGCAGCCGCGGUAAUACGGAGGAUGCGAGCGUUAUCCGGAUUUAUUGGGUUUAAAGGGUGCGCAGGCGGCCUGUUAAGUCAGCGGUAAAAGCCCGGGGCUCAACCCCGGCGGGCCGUUGAAACGGGCGGG